UCCACUUUUUUAUGCUGAAUCGCCUUGCCACCGGCUGAUGGACCCGGCUCGCCGCCAUCGUGAGCCUGUUGGAAGUAUCACGGGACUCUGUGACGGAGCCUUGACCUUUUCCAUUUGAAGGUAUGCCCUGUGACGGCGGCGUCAGACUGGGAGUGCGGCCGGAGCAUGUGGCCCGAGGGCCCUGGCCAUUUUAGGAGAUGCCAACUAAGAGACAACAGCCCGGUGACGGCAGGAACUUCCCAGAUGGCGAGGCGGCCUUCUUUCACACCUGACCUGGAUUCGCAUUCCCGGACCUCCGAGAGAUAAGUGGAGGGCUACGCCUCACAGAGGGGAUGAGAGCGAUGUGCCGGGUCAGGACUCGUCGGAAGGAUUUUUGAAUUAGCUCUGGAGACGGGGAUGUCCAAGA
Corvus hawaiiensis (hawaiian crow) is the source of this 406-nucleotide long non-coding RNA. RefSeq lists it as uncharacterized. NCBI's taxonomy places the organism in Eukaryota, Metazoa, Chordata, Aves, Passeriformes, Corvidae. The record is from RefSeq and is a predicted model, not a curated record. The transcript is spliced from 3 exons.